UGGGGAAUAUUGCACAAUGGGCGCAAGCCUGAUGCAGCCAUGCCGCGUGUAUGAAGAAGGCCUUCGGGUUGUAAAGUACUUUCAGCGGGGAGGAAGGGAGUAAAGUUAAUACCUUUGCUCAUUGACGUUACCCGCAGAAGAAGCACCGGCUAACUCCGUGCCAGCAGCCGCGGUAAUACGGAGGGUGCAAGCGUUAAUCGGAAUUACUGGGCGUAAAGCGCACGCAGGCGGUUUGUUAAGUCAGAUGUGAAAUCCCCGGGCUCAACCUGGGAACUGAAUCUGAUACUGGCAAGCUUGAGUCUCGUAGAGGGGGGUAGAAUUCCAUGUGUAGCGGUGAAAUGCGUAGAGAUGUGGAGGAAUACCGGUGGCGAAGGCGGCCCCCUGGACAAAGACUGACGCUCAGGUGCGAAAGCGUGGGGAGCAAACAGG
Molecule: ribosomal RNA, 429 nt
Filed under: Chloroflexota bacterium
Lineage: Bacteria; Bacillati; Chloroflexota
Description: Chloroflexi bacterium partial 16S ribosomal RNA
Rfam family: Bacterial small subunit ribosomal RNA
Source: RNAcentral